RNAcentral lists this ribosomal RNA (377 nucleotides) under uncultured Pediococcus sp. RNAcentral describes it as "bacterial SSU rRNA". It matches the Rfam family "Bacterial small subunit ribosomal RNA", at positions 523 to 898 of the family's 1533-position model. Lineage: Bacteria; Bacillati; Bacillota; Bacilli; Lactobacillales; Lactobacillaceae. The record is from RNAcentral.
AUACGUAGGUGGCAAGCGUUAUCCGGAUUUAUUGGGCGUAAAGCGAGCGCAGGCGGUCUUUUAAGUCUAAUGUGAAAGCCUUCGGCUCAACCGAAGAAGUGCAUUGGAAACUGGGAGACUUGAGUGCAGAAGAGGACAGUGGAACUCCAUGUGUAGCGGUGAAAUGCGUAGAUAUAUGGAAGAACACCAGUGGCGAAGGCGGCUGUCUGGUCUGUAGCUGACGCUGAGGCUCGAAAGCAUGGGUAGCGAACAGGAUUAGAUACCCUGGUAGUCCAUGCCGUAAACGAUGAUUACUAAGUGUUGGAGGGUUUCCGCCCUUCAGUGCUGCAGCUAACGCAUUAAGUAAUCCGCCUGGGGAGUACGACCGCAAGGUUGAA